GAAUGAUUAGCUCAGCUGGUAGAGCAUUUGACUUUUAAUCAAAGGGUCGUGGGUUCGAGUCCCAUAUCGUUCA
This 73-nucleotide transfer RNA is filed under the name Caudoviricetes sp. Its description in RNAcentral is "tRNA-Lys". It matches the Rfam family "tRNA". Rfam says of the family: Transfer RNA (tRNA) molecules are approximately 80 nucleotides in length. Their secondary structure includes four short double-helical elements and three loops (D, anti-codon, and T loops). Lineage: Duplodnaviria; Heunggongvirae; Uroviricota; Caudoviricetes. The record is from RNAcentral.